Molecule: ribosomal RNA, 253 nt
Filed under: uncultured bacterium
Lineage: Bacteria
Description: partial 16S ribosomal RNA
Rfam family: Bacterial small subunit ribosomal RNA
Source: RNAcentral
UACGUAGGGGGCUAGCGUUGUCCGGAUUUAUUGGGCGUAAAGAGCGUGUAGGCGGCCAUGUAGGUCCGUUGUGAAAACUCGAGGCUCAACCUCGAGACGCCGAUGGAAACCAUGUGGCUAGAGUCCGGAAGAGGAGAGUGGAAUUCCUGGUGUAGCGGUGAAAUGCGCAGAUAUCGUAAGGAAGACCAGUGGCGAAGGCGGGUCUCUGGGCCGUAACUGACGCUGAGGAGCGAAAGCGUGGGGAGCGAACAGG